CGCGUAGGCGGUUUUAUAAGUGAGAUGUGAAAGGCCUGGGCUUAACCUAGGAACGGCAUCUUAGACUAUAGGACUAGAGUGCAGUAGAGGGUGGCGGAAUUUCCGGUGUAGCGGUGAAAUGCGUAGAGAUCGGAAGGAACACCAGUGGCGAAGGCGGCCACCUGGACUGUCACUGACGCUGAGGCGCGAGAGCGUGGGUAGCAAACAGGAUUAGAUACCCUGGUAGUCCACGCUGUAAACGAUGAGAACUAGAUGUUUGUUUGCGCGAGCGAAUGAGUAUCGAAGCUAACGCGAUAAGUUCUCCGCCUGGGGAGUACGGUCGCAAGAUUAAA
RNAcentral lists this ribosomal RNA (332 nucleotides) under uncultured Pseudomonadota bacterium. RNAcentral's name for it is "bacterial SSU rRNA". It matches the Rfam family "Bacterial small subunit ribosomal RNA", at positions 568 to 898 of the family's 1533-position model. The record is from RNAcentral. Lineage: Bacteria; Pseudomonadati; Pseudomonadota.